GGAGCAGUACUCAAGUGGUCGAAGAGGCGUGACUCGAAAUCUCGUAGGCCGGGUGACCGGCGCCAGGGUUCAAAUCCCUGCUGCUCCGCCA
This 91-nucleotide transfer RNA is filed under the name Candidatus Faecalibacterium intestinipullorum. Its description in RNAcentral is "tRNA-Ser". It matches the Rfam family "tRNA". From Rfam's summary of the family: Transfer RNA (tRNA) molecules are approximately 80 nucleotides in length. Their secondary structure includes four short double-helical elements and three loops (D, anti-codon, and T loops). RNAcentral also lists the same sequence under 1 other name. Lineage: Bacteria; Bacillati; Bacillota; Clostridia; Eubacteriales; Oscillospiraceae. The record is from RNAcentral.